Molecule: ribosomal RNA, 439 nt
Filed under: uncultured bacterium
Lineage: Bacteria
Description: partial 16S ribosomal RNA
Rfam family: Bacterial small subunit ribosomal RNA
Source: RNAcentral
CUACGGGUGGCUGCAGUGGGGAAUAUUGCACAAUGGAGGAAACUCUGAUGCAGCAACGCCGCGUGGAGGAUGACACUUUUCGGAGCGUAAACUCCUUUUAUAUAGGAAGAAGAUGACGGUACUAUAUGAAUAAGCGCCGGCUAACUCCGUGCCAGCAGCCGCGGUAAUACGGAGGGCGCAAGCGUUACUCGGAAUCACUGGGCGUAAAGAGCGUGUAGGCGGAUUAAAAAGUCAGAAGUGAAAUCCUAUAGCUUAACUAUAGAACUGCUUCUGAAACUCUUAAUCUAGAAUAUGGGAGAGGUAGAUGGAAUUCCUGGUGUAGGGGUAAAAUCCGCAGAGAUCAGAAGGAAUACCGAUUGCGAAGGCGAUCUACUAGAACAUUAUUGACGCUGAGACGCGAAAGCGUGGGGAGCAAACAGGAUUAGAUACCCCGGUAGUC